This 885-nucleotide long non-coding RNA is filed under the name Fukomys damarensis (Damara mole-rat). RNAcentral describes it as "lncRNA (ENSFDAG00000022691.1)". Lineage: Eukaryota; Metazoa; Chordata; Mammalia; Rodentia; Bathyergidae. The record is from RNAcentral.
AUUUAAAUGAAUGCACUGGUUAAUUCUUAUUCUCUUUUGCACAUAUAUAGGCACCUCCUAUACAUAUGCUAUAUAAAAGGUAAAGAGGGACAGGGCAGAUAAGAGGAUAAUAAAGUGAGGAAGUUGAGAAGGAAAAAGUUAAAAAUAGAAAAAAAAUGAAGAGAACAAAGAAAAAACAACAACAACAACAAAAAAACCCCAUAAAAUGAAAAAAUAAACAAAUGCAAAAAAAAAAAAAACCCAACCCAAACAAACAAGGAAACAAACAAAAAGUCCUUAUGCAGUUUCUCUAGCCUAAGACCAAAGUAUCCACACAAAUCUUUUUACAUUGCAGUCAGAAUCUGACUGUAAGCAUCCAAGCUGGUUCCCCACUUAUGGUCUUAGUUGCCUGCCUGGGAGCCUUAUAGGCUUACUGGUCUGGAUGGCUCUCUGGGCCCACUUCUUGCGUGCAAGCUAUACUUUGAACACAGCCAACUACAGCCUCUUGUCUCUGUCCCAAGAUCGGACCACCCCAGUUAAUUUGGAAGAGGGAGAUGUGUAUUUUGUCCAACACCUGGUUCUCUAUUGACUCCUCCAGGAACCUCCCACUUCUGCUCCCUUCACUGCAGGGCAAAUCCCAUGGUCAUUUCUGUGUCAUUCUUCCACAAACCUUUUGCCUACUGCAUUGCCAGAAUCCCGCUGACUUGGGCACUACUCUUUGUCUCUCCACUCAGCCACUUUCUUAAGAGUUCCACUCUUCUAGCUGUGGAACUUGGCACAGCCCCUAUGCUUGGCAGAGGACCUCUUUUGGCAGCACAAGAUGGGGGAAGUAAGUUUCAGAAGAAAGAGAUGCCACUCAGCUUUAUUUCAACCUUGACUCUGUACUUGCCGCACUCCAGAGGCUGA